This 482-nucleotide ribosomal RNA is filed under the name uncultured bacterium. Its description in RNAcentral is "partial 16S ribosomal RNA". It matches the Rfam family "Bacterial small subunit ribosomal RNA", at positions 28 to 523 of the family's 1533-position model. The record is from RNAcentral.
GACGAACGCUGGCGGCGUGCUUAACACAUGCAAGUCGAACGAUGAAACCUAGCUUGCUAGGUCGAUUAGUGGUGAACGGGUGAGUAACACGUGACUAACCUGCCCCUUUCUCUGGGAUAACGCUCCGAAAGGAGUGCUAAUACCGGAUACUCACACCGAGGCACAUGCCUUGGUGUGGAAAGUUUUUCGGUUUGGGAUGGGCCCGCGGCCUAUCAGCUUGUUGGUGAGGUAACGGCUCACCAAGGCUACGACGGGUAACCGGCCUGAGAGGGCGACCGGUCACACUGGGACUGAGACACGGCCCAGACUCCUACGGGAGGCAGCAGUGGGGAAUAUUACGCAAUGGGCGAAAGCCUGACGCAGCGACGCCGCGUGAGGGAUGAAGGUCUUCGGAUCGUAAACCUCUUUCAGUAGGGACGAAGCGAAAGUGACGGUACCUAAAGAAGAAGCACCGGCUAACUACGUGCCAGCCGCCGCUGUAA